UGUCAGUGUUUGCAGUCAAGGAAUAAAGUCAGAACGGCGAUUGACAAGUGAGUCAUUCGUACCAAGUGUAACGUGGAAACCAGGCUAUAGCGAGGAGUUCCCACCUCCUCAAGACAAACUACUGAGAUGGGGUCCUUUUUCCCUUGUUCUGAGGGCCAGAACUUCAUCAGGGAAACACCCUGAGGGCCAAGUGGGUGAGGUCAAAGGACAGUACUCAAAAGCAGGUAAAGUAGGACCUAGCUUCUUUCUGUGAUUGCAACUGUUUUCAAGGUUGUGUUUUAAUCCGGGAAUUUGCCCUGGGAAUUCAGGAGGGUGGCUGUGUCCUUAAUAAUGUGACACAGCGCAACCCCCACAUCUGCGUGGGGUACUUCUGGAUCCAACAUAGUCCCUUGAGUGUCCACUUCAACAUCCCACUAGUGUGCCAACCUCAGUCCCUUUGUGGCCAGGGGACUCCACGCUCUGCUUCUGGUGGGAUAUUUGCAAUGCCCUCCAUGCGAAGCUGCGCUUGAAGAUGACUCGGAAAGCGAUGGAAAGCAGGGACCAAAUUAUGGGCUGGUUUCCCUCUCUUUAUUCACGGCAUUUCUAUCCACCUUUCCCCAUGAACUCCAAAAGGCAGCCAUGGGUCUCGCUCAUUCGUAUCCUGACCAGCAUUUGAGUGGCGAUUCCUGCAUUGCUCAUCUUUGGCCUAGGUGACUCUCGUGGUUCCCUCCCCACCCUAGAAUUCUGAAAUGCAAUUCAACCCCCCCCCCGGAUUCUUUGCAGAGAAGACCCUCUGCUCCCUGAUUUGCGGGGGUCUCCCUUCCCCUCCCCCCCAAAGCACCCCAGGCAAGAAGAGAGAGACUCACUCGAUGCCGGAGGCGCCUCCGAGGAGACAACAGCUGCCUCUUGACAGGAAGGGGCUGGGGAGGGCGGGGCUUGGACACCUUCAUUUCUGGUCCUCUCUAGGAAUCCAGCUCAGCUCCUCUUAACCCGGCUGAAAGACCCAGAUGAAAUCUCGUUGGAACAAAUCUCGCGGCCACAUUUCACGAGCCAUUUCCUCCGCGGGUUCUUUUCUCUCUUCUUCUCUUUGCCUGCCCCUUCCUUCUGCCCCAGCAAUGAGAGCUCAGCGCCCCCUCAGAGCAGCCCCACUUUCAAGGCAGUUCCAGAAAGCGGCAGGGGUGCAAUACUAAGCAGUGGGUCGGGGGUGGGGGAGAGAGAUGGACAGCUGAGGCCGGGCCGAGUCUGGAGCUGCAGUCCCUCAGAAACGCCACCAGGGGGCGGGGCCUCUCUCUGAUUGGCUAUCCAGACAGACAGAGGCGGGGGCGGAGCCAGCCCUUUUGGCGGGAAGAUGAGGAGCCUUUUCUGAGGGAGUUUUGAGGCUGGAGCUGAGAUGGGAGGAAGGGAGGAGGAGGAGGAGAGGCUGAGUCUGAGGGAGAAGUGGCUCUGGCCUGAGGAGAAUCUCGGGGGCCAGAAGGAGGAGAGAGGAAGAGGGGCUGAGUCGGGGGGGGGGGGAGAAGAGGGCCGAGGGAUCCCCUGGGUCUGGCGCCCAAAAUAAAAGGCCUCAGGAGGGGCAUUGCUGAGAGACAGGGAGGCUGAGGGAAAGGAACCUGGGCUGGGUCAAAAGGAUUGAACUGCUACACCUCCAUAACUAAGGAAAGGAGUGAGUGAAAAGUAACAGAAACCGAAAUGAGCAUUUUCCCACUUCGUCUAGAAACAGGAACAUCUGUUUACCUGAAGUGUAACAGCUCAUUUUAACAACUGAAGUCUAAGGAAAGCUAUGCAUAUCCUACUGGUCUACCUUAUAGGAAUGUUAUAAAAGUUUUUUUAUAUUAAGAACUUUGAAAUGUACCACACGGAGGCUGUUUCCCCCCCAUGUUGCGCCCACCCCCUCCUGCUCCCUCUUCCCUCUGCAUUCAGGGGGCACAGCUGGGCCUUUCACCAACCCCCCCUCCCUUAUUCCCACUGCCACCCCAGAACUCUGACCUGAACACUUCACCCCCAACAUAGUGAAGAAUGAGGUGUGAGGUGGAGUACAACUGAUUUAUUAAAAACAAACACUAAUUUCAAGAUAACUUGGUGUAGAUAAGUUAGGGCUGCCAUAAGUCCAGAUUUUCUUGGAUCUUAGCUAAAUCAAUAAAAAAAUCAGGUUAUUUUGGCAUUGUCAUAAAAUUUGGGGGGGUUCCUAAAAAAAGCACAACAAUGUUGGGGUCUUCCUAAAAAAUGCUCAACAGCUUUCAGGGUGUCCUGCUUUUUACUUUUUCAAAUAUGGCAACCCUAACAUAAGUGUAUGGUUUCAAAUCUUCCAGUUUUUCUGUUCAUUCUUCAUUACUUUAGUACUACUGUAACAAUGGGUAUUACAAGGAUGUUCCUCUACUACUGAGCUCAACCUCCAACUGUUUCCUUGCAGGCUUUCUCCACCAGCCUGAGGGGGCCAGAUCCAAGGUGAUGAAUAGAUGGACUCCAGCUACAAAAGCUGAGACUGCGGAAGAGGACAGAGACCAUCUUGGCUGUGAGUCCUCUAAGACCUUCUCCUUCCUUGCAGGCCUUUUCCCAUGUGGCCUAGGAAAGUCCAGACUGACUCCAGCUACAAAAGCUGGAGCCGCUGAACAAACACCUGGGCUUAGCAGGUUUGUUGUUGCUACAGGUUUUUAUGGAGCACUUUCAAAAACGCUUCAGAAUGUGCCAUGCGGAGGUUGUUUCUCUCCCAUGUAUAAUUAAAGCUCUGGUUUUCCCAGUAGUGAUGUAUGGAAGUGAGAGCUGGACCAUAAAGAAGGUUGAUCGCAGGAGAAUGGAUGCUUUUGAAUUCUGGUGCUGGAGGAGACUCUUGAGAGUCCCACGGACUGCAAGAAGAUCAAACCUCUCCAUUCUGAAGGAAAUCAGCCCUGAGUGCUCACUGGAAGGACAGAUCCUGAAGCUGAGG
Molecule: long non-coding RNA, 2899 nt
Filed under: Podarcis lilfordi (Lilford's wall lizard)
Lineage: Eukaryota; Metazoa; Chordata; Lepidosauria; Squamata; Lacertidae
Source: RNAcentral